CCUACGGGAGGCUGCAGUGGGGAAUAUUGGGCAAUGGGCGCAAGCCUGACCCAGCAACGCCGCGUGAAGGAAGAAGGCUUUCGGGUUGUAAACUUCUUUUCUGAGGGACGAAGAAAGUGACGGUACCUCAGGAAUCAGCCACAGCUAACUACGUACCAGCAGCCGAGGUAAUACGUAGGUGGCAAGCGGUAUCCGGAUUUAUUGGGUGUAAAGGGCGUGUAGGGGGGAAAGUAAGUCAGAUGGGAAAACUCAGGGAUCAAACCUGAUCCUGCCUUUGAAACUGUUGUUCUUGAGUGGUGGAGAAGUAAGCGGAAUGCGUGGUGUAGCGGUGAAAUGCGUAGAUAUCAGGAGGAACACCAGUGGCGAAGGCGGAUUGCUGGACAGCAACUGACGCUGAGGCGCGAAAGCGUGGGGAGCAAACAGGAUUAGAUACCCCAGUAGUC
Molecule: ribosomal RNA, 443 nt
Filed under: uncultured bacterium
Lineage: Bacteria
Description: partial 16S ribosomal RNA
Rfam family: Bacterial small subunit ribosomal RNA
Source: RNAcentral